GGAAGGAAGAAGGUUCUCUUUUGACCAUGUAGUAUUUGAAGUGCUUGUGAGCUAACCAAGCAGAUAUGUGUAGUAGGCAAUUAGGUAUUCAUUCAUUUAAGUUGUUUUAAGAACACUGGUCUGUUCUGCACACUGGAACAGAUUAAACAGCAACAAGAGCAGUAAGGUUCCUGCUCCUGUUUCUAGUGGAGGGAACAGACUAAACAAGUUUUACCAAAAAAAUGAGAAUAUUACAUAAUAUGUUCUGUGAAGAAACUAAAAGGGUAUUUGGAUAAAGCCUUUCUUUGGGGAAGAGAACAGGCACAUUUUUGGUUGUUGGUCAGAGAUGGCCUCACUGAGAAGGUAUUCACUAAGACCUAAAUGGGAAUGAGUUAAAAGCAGUAUUCAAGAUCAGAUGGACUAUCAGGGCAACACCUAAGGCGAGAGUUUGUUUUGUUUAGCAAGGAGGGCGUUGUGGAUAGUCUAGAGAGCAAAGAAGGGAAUGGUAGAAGAUGAAGUCUUGUAGCCUUGGUAAGUUUAAGUGCUCUAGAAGCCCCUGAAAGCUUUUAAGGAAUGGAGUAACAUGAAUAGUAGCAGGAGAGGUAAAAUGGAUGGAUUGAAGAUCUAUGUUGUGAUUAGGCCCAGCUUGUAUUGCUGAAGAAUCAAACAUGAGUGAGGGAAAGGGAGCAAUCAAGAAUGAUUCCUAGGUUUGGGGCAUGGUUGUCUAGGCCAGCAGUGUCCAAUGUAAAUAUAACACGAGCCACAUACGUAAUUUUAUAGUACUAACGUUUACAAAGUAAAAAACAAAAGUUGAAAUUAAUUUUAAUACUGUGUUUUAUUUAACUCAGUAUAUCCAAAAUAGUAUCAUUUCAAAUGUGAUGAAUAUUUAAAAGUAUUGGGCUAGCCCUGGUGGCCCAAUGGUUAAGUUCAGUGUGCUCCGCUUCAGUGGGCUGGUUGUGGGUCCUUCUAGUUGUGGCAUGUGGGACGCCACCUCAGCAUGGCUUGAUGAGCUGUGCCAUGUCUGCACCCAGGCUGGUGAAACAGGCGAAACCCUGGGCCACCGAAGCAGAGCGCGCAAACUUAACCACUCGGCCACAGGGCCAGCCCCUAUUUAAUUUUAAAUUAAAGUUAAGAUUAAAAUUUCAUUUGCUAAAUUAGCCAUAUUUCAAGUGGUCAAUAGCCACAUGUGACUGGUUGCUCCUAUAUUGGACAGUACACUCUAGUGGAAUAGAGUACUGGAAAAUUAGAUUUAAAAAGUUGUGUGAAACCAGGCUGUAAAGGAUUGGGAUUUUACCCUAGAGGCAAGGGAAGCAGAGGAUGGUUUUUGAAGCAGGAAGUGACACAACUUUGUGCUUGAGGCUAGAAAAAGGCCACUAGGUGGCCAACUGGUGACUCAGGAACAAGAGCAACCCUUCAGUUGAGUCCACACAUUUUAGGCUCUGACCUCAGCCCUUCAGAAUCAGAAGUCUGAUUUUUGUCAAUGCUCUAGAGCAGUGCCACAAAAAGUAUGGUCCACAGGCCAGUGCCAGUCUGCAUGCCCUUUGUUAUUGGUCCAUGGCAAGGUAUUUACAGAAAUUGAGAGUAAGAAUUUUAAGAGUUUUAUAGCAAUUUAACAUUAAUUUUAUGUCUGUGGAUCUAAGAAAAAUUUUGGUCUCAUUUGUUGUAUAUGUUUUUUUUAAUUUCCCUUUCCUAGUAAUUUAUUUUCAUAUUUUAUAAAAUUGUCUAUGAUCUUUCACCACAGAUAAUUUUUGAAGCACUGUUCUACAGGCACUCAGGUGAAGGCAGUCAGAGGGACCACAUUCUCAGAAGACUUACCUAAAUCCAAAGGCCUUUUCUCACUUUAUAGUUAGCACUAUAGUGACUAAGAGAAGAAUGGACUCUGCUCAGUUUCUCCCUCCAUAUAAAAAUGGAAGAGAGAAUACAUGAAGUUGACUGCAUUACUUCCAGAAGGUUCAUUAGUGAAUUUGAGACCAGAGUAAGGGGAGUUAGUGGUAUUCUAACAGCAUGAGUCAAAUGCAUUCAUUUCUGCAAUAGAACUAUGUCUGCUUUGCUCCUCUCUAGACUUUAUAGAUCACAAAUCAAUAAAAAAUAAAGGAUCUGGCCCCGUAGCGUAGUGGUUCAGUGUACACCACUUCAGAGGCCCGGGUUCGCAGGUUCGGAUCUCAGAUAUGGACCUACAUCAGCCAUGCUGUGGUGGUGACCCACAUAUAAAAUAGAGGAGGAUUGGCACAGAUGUUAGCUCAGGGCUAAUCUUCCUCAGGAAAAAAAAGAAACCCACAAUGAGAUACUUCUGUACGUGCACAAUAAUGGCAAAAAUGGAAAACAGAAAAUGCCACAUAUUGGGCAGGAGUUGAAACAACUGAAACUCUGCAUUGCUGGUGGGAAUGUAGAUUGGUAUAGCCACUUUGGAAAAUUUGAAGUUCAAAAAACAGGCAAACCAAACUAGAUUUAGGAACAUAAUGUUUAGGUAGUAAAAACUAUAAAGAAAAGAAAGGAAAUGGCUAGCUUUGGGUGAGGGAGUAAUGCUUAGACAGGUACAAGGGGACUUCUGGCAUGCUGUCCAUGUCUGUUUCUUGAGUAGGAAUUACAUGAGUUCACUUUGUGAUUCAAUGAGCUGUAGGUUUUGUGGUGGGUGUACUUUUCAGUAUGUGUUGUAUAUCUAAUGGUUUAAAAAAAUUUGCUGGAGUUAACAAGUUAGAAAAUAUGUCCCUGGGCAAUGCUGGAUAUACACUACCAACUACUACUUGCUAACUGAGCCCAUCUUUCUAUAUAUGCAUUACAAAUGUGAAAGAUAAGGUAGGCUUGAAUUCUAGGAGUGGCAAUGGUGAAGGAGAGGAGAGACAGAUGCACAAAAUACUGCAGAACCUGAGGCAGUAUGGGAAGGUGAAGGAGCAUGGCAGUUGGAGUGAGGAGCCCCAAGUUCAAGACUUAACUGGUUUUUAGUCCAGGCUCUAGUCACUCUCUAAGCAUAUGACCUGGCCUAUCUCCUAACUUACCUUAAUUUCAUUUUUCUCACCUGGAGGGUGGGGUUGAUAAAACUGACAAUCUUUCGUUUGUAACCUUUUGUAAGCUAUUGAAAUGCCAUAUAAAAUUUAUAUUGAUGUCUGAUUCAGUGUGAUGGGGAAGGAGUUAAGGAUGAUUGAGAUUUUGAGCCAGAGUGGAGAAGGUAAUGGUGGUAGCAUGAACGAAAUGAAAAAACCAAGAGGAGAAGCAGAUUUGGAGAAAUAUGACAUUCUAUUUUAUACAUGUUGAGUUUAAGAUCAUGCCAGAACAUCAAGAUGGAAUUAUGAAACAGACACAGAACUGAAGAUUUGGUGCUCUGAAAAAAAAGGUCAGAAAUGGUGAUAGGAAAUUAGAAGUUACCCACAUAAGGGUAAUAACUAAAGCCGGGAGAGUGAAUGAGAUCGUUGAGAGAGAACAUAGGAAAACUGAGUACUGAGGACAGAGAAGGAGAGAAGGAAAGGGAGAAGGAAAGGAAAUCAACAUUUACUGAGCCCCUGUUAAACUGUGUGCCAGCUGCUCUACGUUCGUUACCUCAUUUAUUCCCCUCAAAUUCCAGGGUGGCUGUUCUGACCUCGUGUAGCAGACUCUAGACUCACAGCAAGACAAAAAACCAGUGUUUGAAACCAGCUUGGCUCCAGUUUAUGCAGUGCCCUACUCCAUUCCUGGAGAACCAAGUGUCUCUUGCAGAAGCCCAGGGGGAGACUAUUAACUGCAACCAACGUUUUGUCUGUGCAGUUCCUGUGCAAUUUGGAAACCACGAACUCUUUAGGAAUGGCAGGUGGACUUGCUGCCGGUGCCAUUAUGGCAUGUGAAGUCACCACUCUGGAACAUAAACCCUGGAAUAAGUCUGUGACAGCAGGAAACUAUAACUAAAUCCUUUCUCCCCACUGCUCAAGAGCAUGAAAGUUUUCUGCUGCCUUUGGAACUGUGUCUGCAAACAGCUCAAAAGAGAUGGCCUGAGGGCUCGCCAUGGACAUCAAUGUCGGAAGAACACAGUGGGGUUGACCAUAGCUCGGUGGCACUGACAGCAGUGUCUGCAAAGCCAAACAUUCUUCAUUCUUUAAUCCAAAUUGCUUGUCCUCCCUGAAGAGAAAUCUAUUUUAUUUAUACCUUUAUCUCCACAAGCAAGGACUUUACCCUAAAUAAGACUUUAUCACUUUUCUUUCAGAUUAUUGAGUCUUGUUCUCUUUGAAUUUAACCUUCCCUUCCUGCCCCCAGACCAUCCUGCCUGCCUACCACUGUUGUCUUCGUCAGAUAUUGCUUUCAGCUUGAGACUCCGCUGAGCAUUACCCUACAGGGUACCUAUGUGGACAUCUAGGCUCAUCCUAGAUCUGGACCUUUCCAGCCCUGGGUUUGGGCAGACCUGCAGUCAAGGAUGAUAGUAUGUGAGAACACUUAGCAUAGUUCCUGGCACAUAGCAGGCAAUGUUAGCUUCUUUUUCCUCUUUUUAUCAAGUUAGUUUCUUUACUGCCCCAAAGACUACCAAGUCUUUGAGUUCAUAUCUGACUCAGAAAUUAUUCUCCCUCUGAGAAACAUAUUCACUCCAAUUUUCUGCCUCUCUAAAUCUAUCAAACAUAAACAAAUUCAAAUUCUACCUUCAAAUUUUAAAACAAUCUUGAAAGUCACAACAGUAAGAACAAAUGGAAAAUUAAACCUUGUUCUUGGUUAAGAAAUUUAACAUCAUAAAAAUAUUAUGUCUUUAUUUAAUAUAUGUCAAAAAUACAAGAUUUUUUGGGGAUCCAUGGAAAUGGGAGGAGGGGAGCUAGCCAAGUGGAUUCUAAAGCUCAUAUGGAAAAAAUAAAUAAGCACAAAUGGACAGAAAACCCUGCCAAAGAACACUAAGGGGAGACUAGCAUCUGCUAGAUAUUAGUCAGAUUAUAAAGCCCCAAGGGCACUAAUCCACCCUCAUGACCUAAACACCUCCCAAAGGCGCCCCUCUCCAAAUACCAGCACAGCAGGGAUUAGGUUUCAACAUAGGAAUUUGGGGAGGACACAGACAUUCAGUUUAGAGCACCAAAUAUUUAUUAUAGGGGCUGUAGAAAAGAAGAGGAAUCUAUAAGUACUGGUAGGGAAACAUCUCCAGCUUUAUAUAAAGAAUUAUGAUUAAGUUUAAAAAGGAAAGUACAGAAAGUGUCUCUAGUGUGCUACCUUUAGUAAAGGGAGAAGAUAUGUAUAUGAUUGUAUAUGCUUGUAUUCAUAUAAAGAAG
Equus caballus (horse) is the source of this 5189-nucleotide long non-coding RNA. The record is from Ensembl. NCBI's taxonomy places the organism in Eukaryota, Metazoa, Chordata, Mammalia, Perissodactyla, Equidae.